AGUCCAUCAAACAGUGCAUUUUGAAGUCAAGCAAGUCCUAAGCAAAGCAAAGCAAAUCAAUGAGAGAGAGAGAUAGACUAAGAAGCAACAAUUAGGGUUUCGUGUUUCCUUCGGGGCACAGAAUUCACGCUCCUUCGCCAGAGAUCUGUUUUGCAGUGUUGCGAGGUUGAAUUCCACGCUGAGCUGCGAGUGCUGUAGUAGCAUCUCGUCGGUUGGGUGAUGCAUGUGGCGAAGGAUCGGCAAGUGAUACAGUUCUGUCGAAGUGUAAUUCGGUGUAAUUUCACGAAUGGCUUCGAAUUUCUGGACGUCCUCGCACUGCAAGAAACUGCUAGACCAAGAGGAAGUUAGUCAUGUUGCUCAAACUGAUGCGGAGCGGGGUCUUACACCCGAGGAUGUGAAACUUAUGAAGAUACAAUUUUCUGCUUACAUCAAAUUGCUAGGAUACCAUGCUAAAGUUCGUCAGCGGGUUGUCGCAACUGCUAUCGCAUACUUUAGAAGAAUUUACACCAGAAAAAGUUUCUCCGAAUUCGAUCCACGGCUAGUUGCUCCUACAUGUCUGUAUCUGGCCUCCAAAGCAGAAGAAAGUACAGUGCAGGCUAAGCUUCUUGUUUUCUGCACGAAGAAAAUUCGGGCAACCUUCGCCUGUCUCUUUACUUCAGCUCCAGAUGAGAAAGCACAUCGUUAUGACGUUAAGGAUAUUCUUGAGAUGGAGAUGCGGCUGCUGGAAGCACUGGAUUAUUAUCUAGUCAUCUAUCACCCUUACCGUCCCCUUAUUCAACUGCUGCAAGAUGGUAACAUGCCGACAGAUAUGACCCAAUUCACUUGGUCACUGGUGAACGAUUCGUAUAGGACUGACCUCAUCCUGAUGUACCCACCUUUCAUGAUUGCACUUGCAUGCAUCUACAUCGCUAGCGUGCUCAAAGAGAAGGACACAAGGUCAUGGUUUGAAGAGCUACGUGUGGACAUGAAUGUGAUUAAAAACAUUGCGAUGGAGAUUUUGGACUUCUAUGACAAUUAUCGAGAGAUACCUGGUGAGCGCAUUACGGCUGCUGUAAGCAAGCUACCGCAAAGACUGUAGAACUCAUCUGCACAGCUAGAGUUCAACAGUUAUUAAACUCAUGCAGUAGCCAAUUCUAAACAUUAUGUCAAUCUCCUCAACGCUAAGACUGCGUUAGUUUCGAUGGGACAGUUGUGGGCACCAUUCACUGCAUAAGUAACAGUUCAUGCCGUCGUCUUGCUGCGGUAGUAGAAAGCCGACGUCAAGCAAGCAUACAUGGGUGGGUGAGGUUGGAAGGCGAGGUGGGUGGGUCACACCUUUGGUUUAGAACAGUGGCAGACUGCUGUUAAGUUCGAGGAAAGUGUUCUGCGAAACCGCUGGGCAGCAUUUGGAUAUUGGGGCGACACGAGAGGGAGCGCGCGCACGUUUCCGAGAUCCAGCAGGUAGUCUCCUGCAAUCAUGAAGCUUGGGAGGGUGUAGCAAGCCGUGUGGAGAGCACGAUUGGUGGGUCGGAGUCGUCAUGCGACACAUGCGCGCGGAGCAUUGGCGGCGAUUGAUUAGAUGGCUGUUUGCAUCCGUUGUAGUCUACAUGGUUAGGAAUCUCAGCUUUAGCGGAAUGCAUAAAACAUGCCAAACAAAUAGAAUUUAGCAAAGGUGUAUCUCUUUGGAAUGAAGCCGCAUUUAGUGCAAACACCGAUAGCUUCAAGGGAGGUACUGGAAUACUGAUAUCGAACAGAUUUUCCAACUUCAUUACAGAACAUGGGAUAAUCAUGAGAGGA
Molecule: non-coding RNA, 1776 nt
Organism: Physcomitrium patens
Lineage: Eukaryota; Viridiplantae; Streptophyta; Bryopsida; Funariales; Funariaceae
Source: RefSeq, a predicted model, not a curated record